This 74-nucleotide transfer RNA is filed under the name Candidatus Levybacteria bacterium CG2_30_37_29. RNAcentral describes it as "tRNA-Asp". It matches the Rfam family "tRNA". From Rfam's summary of the family: Transfer RNA (tRNA) molecules are approximately 80 nucleotides in length. Their secondary structure includes four short double-helical elements and three loops (D, anti-codon, and T loops). RNAcentral also lists the same sequence under 2 other names. Lineage: Bacteria; Candidatus Levyibacteriota. The record is from RNAcentral.
GGGGGCGUAGCUCAGUUGGUUAGAGCGUCUCCCUGUCACGGAGAAGGUCGCGGGUUCGAGCCCCGUCGCUCCCG